UACUACCUAAAUUAAUUACUUGCUAUUUGGUCACAUUGUUUUUGCAUUCUGCAUUUUAAUUAUUAGGUACGAAACUUAUCAGUUGACUUCAAUUGUUUGGAUGAAAAAGAACUCAAGUGCGCAUAUUAAGAAAAUUAUAACCACAAGAACUUAAAACUUCUGCGUCAAUACUCUAAAAAUAUAACCCCUAGAAAUUCAGCAAUAUCAAUCAAAAUCACGUCAUUUGAAAUUCGCCAACCUUUGCUAUUAUACUUAACGUAUGAUUUUAAUAUUGCACAUAAAAUAGAUUGGAAUGAAUUGAGUUUUGAAAACAAGAUUCUCGGAUGGGGUAGCUACAAAGCAACUUGGAAGUCAAAAGAUGGUCCACAGAAAAUCGUGAUUAAAAAAUUUAGAGCCUUUGUAAAAGACUCCCCAAUUGAAAAAGAAUUCGGUCUGUUAUCGUUAGCCAACAAUGAUGAUAUUGUGAAAUUGUUUGGUAUCACAAAAGAUGGAGACAGUAGAACGGUCAUGGUCAUGGAAUAUGCAGAGUGCGGUUCUUUCCAUAACGUUUUGUAUCAACAAAUAUGCUAUAUGUGACGUAUUCACUGAAUGCUUCAACCUGCCAAGGUAAAUUAAUAAAUACAUAAUGUAAUACCUUUCUCACUCGUUAAUCUAACUCAUAGGGUAUUGAAUACAUUCAUGAAUUUAGUCCGCAAAUUCUUCAUCGUGAUCUAAAACCACAAAAUCUACUAAUUUGCAAUCAGUUUUCGACAUUGAAAAUUUGCGAUUUUGGUACAGCUAAAGAGUUGGAUACCAAGAUGUCAAAUAUUGUACUAAUUCCGAUUUCACAAAAUAAGGCGAUCCACUCAUAAUUGACAUUCAAAAUAUCCACAAAUCUGAUCAGAUAAUAAAACUUAUAGAACAGUGUUGGGAUGAACAUUCUAAGCAAAGACCAGCUAUGCAAGAAGUUAUAAGAAAUAUUGAAUUUUGUUAUUCCAAGGACGAAGAUAAACACUUUAUGGAUUUGAGAUUCUUCUUUAAAAAGCGUGAAGAAGCUUGAAGAAUAUCAUGUCUGUAGUGUAGACAUGGAUGAAGAUGGUUAUUCUAUCGAUUAUGAGGUCGGAUGUUUACCUUAUGAGUUUCGAUUUAAACCUCAACCAACUGUCAAAAUUAACUGGAUCGAUUUUUCAAUUAAUGAGCUAUUAACAUAUACACAGAAAAAUAAU
Molecule: long non-coding RNA, 1205 nt
Organism: Drosophila nasuta
Lineage: Eukaryota; Metazoa; Arthropoda; Insecta; Diptera; Drosophilidae
Exons: 3
Source: RefSeq, a predicted model, not a curated record